AACCCUAACAUUCUCACGGGUGCAAUCGUAGGAGGUCCAAAUGAGAAGGAUGCGUAUGCAGAUAACAGAGAAGAUUUCAUUCAAUCGGAGCCUACUACUUACAUCAACGCCCCCUUCGUCGGACCUUUGGCGUACUUCGCCUCCGGUGGAUCGGCUUGAAACCGUCGGUCGAAGCCGAACGUGACAAUAUCCAAUUGAACAAGUAAUUUAAAUGUGUAACUUUUUAAUAGGCUAAGGUCCAAUAUUAUUGGACCUGGUAUAAUUAUGUUAAUCGUGUUUGUAAGAGACUUCAUUUUAAUAAACCAAUCUUCCGGUUGAGACUAGAAACCAUUUAUUUUUUUGAAUGUCGGUAUUCAGAGGAAAUCUCGAGUCCAAACGCAACCCCCAUGCUUCCAUUCCAUUCCCCAUGGUUCCCGCAGCUCCUAUGCAUCUCAUUCCCUAGCUUGCAGUUUGCUGAAUGAACUGCCGCCAGUUCAAAAUAACAAGUUUCCAACCAAGUUGAAGAUAACAAACUGGCUAAUAGCCAUUGAUCUGAUCAGGGUAAACAUUACAUACAUGUUGUAGCAGAAAGUGCUGCUGCAUGUUAGUAGUACCACGCAAGAACCCAACCAAAAGCUCUACUCAAACUUUCUGAAUUCAUGUUCCCAAACAAAAACACUUUAGCUUUAAACUAAAAAAUCGUUUGAACAUGUAUUACAAGGACCAAGGACAAAACCUUGUUCGAGAUCACGUUACGAUACUCAGAGAGCAUCCAUCAUUCAUCGUAUCUUAUCAAUAUUCAGCAAGUUUUCAAGUUUGAUAUUGUUUUUCAAUUAGAGUAAUGAUCCUUGCAAUUUCUCAAACCGGCUUAACCUCGCAGGGGAUAAGAUCAACCCAGAUUUCAGUCUCAUCAAACCUCUUUGGAUCCAAAUAUUUAGAGUAGUCAUAUACAAAGAAGGUUAAAAAUUGCGAACUUUUGGUGAACAGAGAGAUCAGUCAAGUGAGAAGAGGAAAACAAUGUGUGGGCCCUCUAUUUCACACACUAUUUUCCUCUAUCACUUUUGAGUUUUGACUGAAAGGUAAAAAUAAUGUAUAUAUAUAUAUAUAUAUAUAUUAUUCUCAUACUUAUAUUUCUUAUAAAAAAGUAUAUAUCCGUAUAUACCCCGUUUAGGCGUCCGUCUACACGGCUAGACGGGUAAUGAAUGCGCGUUUUAGAACACUACGUGUGGGAGAAGGAAGACUCUGAAUAGGUUGUAGUACAAGUGAAACACAUCUAGUAAGUUAUGAUAUAAGAUAAGCAAGACUUUCCACAAGGCUACCGCAAGUUAAGAUCACACCUAUAUUUUAUAGUUAUUCAACAUACAUCGUAACCUUACGGGCAGGGAUAGAUAGUAUCAUUGACGUGUGGGAGAAGGAAGACUCUAAAUAGGUUAUAGUACAAGUGAAACACAUCUAGUAAGUUAUGAUAUAAGAUAAGAAAGACAUUCCACAAGGCUACCGCAAGUUAAGAUAUGCGGAGAAAGUUCCUUUUUCAAACUAAGAUAUGCAAAAACAUUAAAUAGGCAAGUUUGGGAAAUUCAGUACAAAAACGAACAAGACUUUGGAAAACAUAUUCCUCACAAAUGCUUCUUAGAGAGAUUGCAAGAGAUGCGCUUAACGAGCACUUGUAGCGACUCUGAGUUUUCUUUGACCAAACUUCAAUUCCCACGGACUAGAUCUUGAUUGUGCGAAGCGGAGAUAUCUCUGAUCAUAAGUCCUCAUAACACGCCAGGUCCAUAGGCUAUUCCAGAUGCUAUCUAGUUAAACAUUUGUUAUCUACCUCGGACAAUUCCUCGCGUUGUUGUGAUGUAGGAUUCGGGACAUGACUUACUCCACAUAUAUUUUCAAGUCCGUAGAGUGUAGUGUCGUCCAAGAAUGAUGAAAAUUUCUACCUUUUAAACUAUGUGCCUCAUGGGUCAAGUGAGGAUUAGCUAAGUUACUUAUGUUUUGGAACAUUGCUGAUGAACACUAUUUAUCAAGUGAGGAUUAGCUAACUUGCUUGGGAUCAUGGUUUCAUGUUUUCAUAUCAUUGUAGUUUAUGUUUAUAUGUAAUUUAUGUUUAACUGAGAAAAAAGGUUUUACUGUGUUAUUUAAGAUAAUAUAACUCCUUGAUUAUGUUAUACAUAAUUAUUGCAUUCUAAUAAAGUUAUUAAGAUUUUAUUUAUAAUCAUUAGUAUUAUUGUUAUUAUGAAUAUACAAGAUGAUAUCAACUACAUAUAAUUAAUUAAUACAAUUAAAUAUAUUUGAAAUGUAAUUUAACAUAUUUAAAAUAUUACUGAGAUAUUCUUUGAUAAAGACAAAUAUAUAGAAAUUGUUUUUUUCCUUAAUUAACUGACAUUAAAAAUGUAAGUUACAAAAGUUGAUAUUAUAAUGUGUGAUAAUUUAAUAGAUAUCUCACCGAUAAAGUUAACAAAUCUGAACUAGUUGUUAAAUUUAACUUUUACUAAACUACUAUUAUUUUAUCAGUUCCCCAUUAGAGUACUAUCAUAAUACCAAAAUCAAUAACAAUAUAUAGCUUUAUAUGAUCAUAUGUUUAUAUGAUUCACUCUCCAAGAAGAGUUCGUAGGAACUCAAGUCGGGAUGUGACUUAGCAAGUAUUUGCGUCAACUUGUCGGUUAGCUUCUCCAAGUCUUCGUCAACUAAUUGGACCACAUAAACCCUAAACUCAAUUCAAUAUUCACGCUUCCUUCUUCCCUUAGUCUCAUGCAAACCUUUUAUCUUUACUGGAGAAUGUAAAUUUCAUAUUAUUGACAUGACAUUUAAUGAUGCGUCUGCCAGCUUAAAUCAUGGUAAAUAAUUAUAUAUUAUACACAUAACGGCAAUAACCAUUGCAUUAAUUCACGUAAUCUCAUAAGGGCAAUGACAUCGAUCGGGCAGAUUAAGGAUGGACAUACCCAUCCAGAACUGAUCUUCGGAUCAGGGUCCCAGACCCAAUUGGACCCGGUUUAAAUAUUCAAAGGGUUCUAAAUUGUUAUAUCCAAAAAUUGAUACCGUAUUCAACCCACACCAAAAACCGAAUGAACUGCAAACAUAUAAAUUAGUACAUAAAAAUAUUAGUUAUAAUCAUACGUAUAAUGAUACUACCUGAAAUCAUAAAUAUAUUAGUUAUUUAAAAUAUUUAUAGAUAAAAUUGGAUAGUUUAGAAACAAAUACCGAUAAUCAAAUUGUAUUCAUGGUAACUAAACAUCAAACUAAAUACAAAUUAAAGAUGUGAUGAUAAAUUUCUCAAGAAGUAAUGUUUUACAACAUAUUUUUUUAUUUCAUAGAUGAAGUAAAAUUCAGUCGUUUUCUUGAUUUUUGAACUUCAUGAAAAUGUGUUAAGGUAAAAAGAGAAUUAAACAGGAGAAGUCAUUUUUUCUCCAAAAUGCCGUAUGUACUGGCUCCAUCAGCGCCGUAUCAAAUCCCUCUCCUAUCUCUGCAUCUCUCUCUCCAUUGUUGUGUAUAUAUAUGUGAACGUUCAUAUCAUGGAUUGGCACCUCAAAACUCAAAGUAAUCAACUUCAAAAUGACUUCUCUUUUCUUCUUAGUUUUCCUUUUCUCAUCUCUUCUCACUCCAAAUGUUGAUGCCAGUCCAAUUUACAUAGAAGCUCUCUCCAAGUCAUUGCUCUUCUUCCACGGUCAGCGGUCCGGUCCCCUCCCAACAGACCAACAAUUCUCGUGGAGGGCUAGCUCCGGCCUUUCAGAUGGCUCCUCCGCCAAUGUACAUCCCAAAAAACACUAAACCUCUUAUAUAGCUUUGUUAUUAUAUAAGAAUGAAUAAACUUUUAUAUGAUCUGCAGGUGGACUUAGUUGGUGGGUACUACACCGAAGGAGACAACGUCAAACACAAUUUCCCAAUGGCGUUUACCACCACAAUGCUUUCAUGGAGCACGCUUGAGUACGGUGAGCAGAUGGGUACUGAGCUCCAAAAUGCUCUUGUUAACAUCCGUUGGGCCACGGAUUAUCUGCUGAAAUGUGCUACAGCCACUCCCGGGAAGCUUUACGUCGGGGUAGGAGAUCCUAAUGCUGAUCACAAAUGCUGGGAACGGCCUGAAGAUAUGGACACACCUCAUACAGUCUAUUCUGUAUCCCCUUCUAACCCCGGUUCUGACGUAGCAGCUGAAACUGCAGCAGCUCUGGCCGCAGCUUCUAUGGUUUUCAAGGAAGUUGAUUCUGCUUACUCGCUUUUGCUGCUGGCAACAGCUAAGAAUGUGAUGCAGUUUGCCAUUAAGUACAGAGGAAGUUAUAGUGAUUCCCUUUCUUCAUCUGUCUGUCCUUUCUACUGCUCCUACUCUGGUUACAAGGGCGGCUUUUCAUAUGUCCCAUCUCUUUAUUAUUGCAACUAAAAAAACUUUUACUGCUACAUAUAUAUAUAUCAAAAUGUAAAAAUUAUGAUGACACAGGACGAGCUAAUGUGGGGUGCGGCCUGGCUGCUGAAAGCAACCGAUGACUCGUAUUACAAAAACUUCAUACAAUCUUUAGGAGGUGGAGAUCAGCCUGACAUCUUCAACUGGGACAACAAAUAUGCUGGCGCUUAUGUUCUUCUUUCACAGGUAUGUCUCUCUGCUAAAAAGAAAGUUUUUUUUAAUUGAAGUUCCAAUCUCUCAUAAGUCCGAACUAAUCUUUUGUUAAUUCCUAAUAAUAUUCCGUACCAAAGGUGGUUUGAACCCGAUACACUUUUGUUGCUUAGCAUGUCACCAAUUCACAACAAUAAUAUUUCACUUUUUGGCAGCAAGCAUUAGUUAACAACGACAACACCUUUGAACAAUACAAGCUAGAAGCUGAGAGUUUCAUAUGCAAGAUCCUCCCAAACACUCCCUCUUCUUCUACCAGUUACACUCCAGGUAAGGAGAUCUAAAUCGUGAAUACGAAUCAUUCAAACUUUCUAAAACGUUAUUUACAACUACAACCAACAGGAGGCUUGAUGUACAACUACAAGUUACCUCAGAGCAACCUACAACACGUAACGGCCAUAACAUUCUUGCUCACAACCUACGCCAAGUACAUGAAAGCCACACAACACACGUUCAACUGCGGAAACUCUGUUAACAUUGUCCCCGAUACCUUGAUAAGCUUAUCGAAGCAACAAGUGGAUUAUAUACUCGGCGAGAAUCCGGCCAAGAUGUCGUAUAUGGUUGGAUACGGAACUAGUUUCCCCAUGAGAAUCCACCACAGAGGAUCAUCUAUUCCUUCACAACCACACUUCAGCUGCGCAGAUGGACUCCAAUUUUUAAAUACUUCAAACCCUAACCCUAACAUUCUCACGGGUGCAAUCGUAGGAGGUCCAAAUGAGAAGGAUGCGUAUGCAGAUAACAGAGAAGAUUUCAUUCAAUCGGAGCCUACUACUUACAUCAACGCCCCCUUCGUCGGACCUUUGGCGUACUUCGCCUCCGGUGGAUCGGCUUGAAACCGUCGGUCGAAGCCGAACGUGACAAUAUCCAAUUGAACAAGUAAUUUAAAUGUGUAACUUUUUAAUAGGCUAAGGUCCAAUAUU
RNAcentral lists this long non-coding RNA (5490 nucleotides) under Brassica napus (rape). RNAcentral describes it as "long non-coding RNA (BNAP_LNC001431)". The record is from RNAcentral. Lineage: Eukaryota; Viridiplantae; Streptophyta; Magnoliopsida; Brassicales; Brassicaceae.